GGACAUCAAGGCACUCAGCUGUGCUCCUCCACUGCUGUCUGUUCAAUCCAAGAGCCAGGGAUCCAUGGGCCAGGUUCUCAGGCUCUUGCGAAGUAAGGUACAUCCUAAAAUCCCUCUGGACGAUGAAGCGUUUGACCUGAUCUUGGUGGACAUCACGGUGCUCCUGUAAAUGUAGAUGGCAGUAGCAGUGACGUGACGUGACGUGACGUGACUUAACGUUGCGUGUUACCACUGCGUAUUGAGCGUCGUUUUUCAUUACGAACAUUUUCUCCCACGAGUCUCUCUGACCCUCAAAAAGCAUCCUGCUUGUUUUGAGUUUCUGUGACUUUGUUGUAUUUACUAAUCUGUCUCUGCAGAACAACACUAUACCAACAGGCCAAGGCCAUGACAACACCCGUGAUUCCAGACGGUGUACUACAAAUUAAGACGUUCUCCACAAAGAUCAAACUUACACUAGUAAGUGCAGAUUCGUUUUGUAUCAGACCAUAAUGCUUAUUAAACCAAAGGUAAUUGAAAUGUACGAAGCUGCGCAACUUUUUAACUAAAGCUUUUAUAUAUGUACUAAAAUAAUGUUUGUUAACAUUAUUGUUAUAAAGUUUAUAUAACUCCUGUUUUGUUGAAUAUUACGUCAUGACUUGCUUUUCUAGCAUUCACAUGGCAUGUGCACAUCAUGAACUAUGCUAUAAAUUCACGUGCUGAUAAAAGAAAGUCUUGGUUGAAUGCAGAUUUGUAUUUGCAAGAUUAUGAGUCACUUUGUGACAGUUGCUGUAGUUUUCACUUUUGUAUGCGGUUGUUUUUCUUAUAAACAGGUAGCAAUCACUCUGGAGUUAUACUGAACUCUUAUGAUGUAAAGUUUAAUCUGCUGGGGAUGGUCUUUGCCACACUAGGGGUCUUUGUCACAUCAAUGUAUCAAGUGGUUUCCUCUAAAGAGGAGCUGCAGAAGUUUCUCCAGAAGAUGAGGGAAUCCUCACUGCUCCUGCUGGAUAAAGGGCUAGAUCCACUUGGAUAUGAAAUACAGCCCUAGACAGUGUGUGGUUUGACAGUGUGUGGUUUUUUUUCUUGUGAUUCUGUUGUCCACAAUGCCUUUU
Long non-coding RNA from Triplophysa rosa, 1088 nucleotides. RefSeq lists it as uncharacterized. The transcript has 3 exons. The record is from RefSeq and is a predicted model, not a curated record. Lineage: Eukaryota; Metazoa; Chordata; Actinopteri; Cypriniformes; Nemacheilidae.